RNAcentral lists this ribosomal RNA (1198 nucleotides) under Cardipennis shaowuensis. Its description in RNAcentral is "partial 16S ribosomal RNA". The stretch from base 1044 to 1198 matches the Rfam family "Archaeal large subunit ribosomal RNA", at positions 2542 to 2696 of the family's 2987-position model. Lineage: Eukaryota; Metazoa; Arthropoda; Insecta; Coleoptera; Curculionidae. The record is from RNAcentral.
GAAUUAAAUCAUUAUUGUUAUUUAUAUUGGUCUAUUAAAAUAAAAAAAGUAAUUUUUUUUUUAUUAAUAAGUAUGAAUAAAUUAAUUUAAUUAUAGAUGAUUAGUAUUGAGAAAGACUUAUAUUAUUUUAUUUAAAGAAUAAUUUAAUUUUAGUACCUUGUGUAUCAGGGUUUAUUAAAAAAUUUUUAUUAAUAAUAAAUUUCUCGAACUUAAAAGAGCUAUAUAAAUAUAUUAAUUAUUGUUAAAUAAAUAUUAUACAUAUUUAUAUUGAAGUGAAACGUUAUUCGAUUUUAAAUAUAUCUAGUUUUUAAAGAAAAAAAUUUAAUUUUAUUUUUAUAAAGUAUUAGUUUUAUUUCUUAAAUUGAUAUUUGUAAAAUUUUAUAUUUUAGGGGAUGAGCUUUAAAAUAAAUUAAUAAAAAUUAUAUUGAGUACUUAGUAAGUAGAAUUAUAAGUUUUUAUCUUUGAUAGUGUUUUAUAACUGUCUAAGUUUAAAAUAUUAUUUAUAUAUAUAUUUUAUUUAGUUUAUUUAAAUAUAAAUUUUAAUUAGAAUAAUUUAGUAAUAAUGAUAAAAUUAGUAUAAUAGAUUUGUUUUAUAAAUUUAAAUAUUUUAGGUUUUAUAAAGGAAUUCGGCAAAGAUACUUUUCACCUGUUUAUCAAAAACAUGUCCUUUUGUUUAAAAUUUAAGGUCUGACCUGCUCAAUGAGUUUUAAAUAGCCGCAGUAUCUUAACUGUGCAAAGGUAGCAUAAUCAUUAGUUUUUUAAUUGAAAGCUGGAAUGAAAGGUCGAAUGAGAAAGUAGCUGUCUCUGUAAAAAUUUUAUAGAAUUUUAUUUUUAAGUAAAAAAGCUUAAAUUCUUAUAAAAGACGAGAAGACCCUAUAGAGUUUUAUACAAAAAAAUAAUGAUUUUUUAAGUAUUUUAACUUUUAUUAUUUUUUUGUAUUUGGUUGGGGUGAUUGGAAAAUUAGAUAAACUUUUCUUUAUAAUUACAUUUGUUUAUGAAAAUAUGAUCCUUUUAUUAAGAUUACAAGAUAAAAUUACCUUAGGGAUAACAGCGUAAUUUUUUUUGAGAGUUCUUAUCGAAAAAAAAGAUUGCGACCUCGAUGUUGGAUUAAAAUAAAUUUUUGGUGUAGAAGCUAAAUUGAUUAGGUCUGUUCGACCUUUAAAAUUUUACAUGAUCUGAGUUCAAACCGGUGUAAGCC